UUCCGCCUUGGCGCCCUCGGCCGCGGGGGCAAUGUUUUUGUUUUCGUUCUACGUUCAGGUGUUGGGUGGCGACGUAUUAACCGUCGAUAACCAGCUGAAGCAGCUCAAGUUCUCGAGUGGAACGAGGUUGACCGUGCGCAGUGGCAGCCGUUGACAACAAAAACAAUGUAUGCACUCAGCUUCGCCGGAUGAGUGCCGGCGUCGAUCGCGAACCGCCAGAGCCGCCAAAUACCUCUCGUACAUCUCCAAGAACACCAAGAACAGGAGGUAUUCAUAAAGGUCUGAACCACGCGAGGAUCGUCUCGAAGCAUGGUAGCCUCAACAGACGCUUGCCGCCACACGCGAGGAGAAAGCAGGAGGCCCGAAGUUUGAAUGUGAAGAGGAGGUGCGAAGAGCUGGCCCUCACUUUUUCAAGGCAGCCGCAGAACACUACGAGCCCCGAAUCACUGCCGCGGCUGACUCACGCGGAUGCUGUGCUGCACCCUGCACUGCACAUGGUUCGAAGCACACUUCAGGGGACCAGUGCAUGCCCCUGAUGCAUCGUCGCGAAGCACUGUAUGGCUCUCUGCACGCUAGAAUGGGGGCUGUCGUUGAUGCUCGCAGAGGCGUCGCCCACAACUAAGCAGACGACCAAAGUCCUGAGCAGGUCCCGGGGAUCAUGGCAUCGAUGAGCUCGCUUUCGCCUUGUCCAAGGUAGCAGCGGAACACUACGGGCAGGCCCGGAGUCACCGCACCGGCUGGCUCACGGGCGUCGUCCUGUACUCUGCACGGCACUGCGUGUGGCUUAAUCGGCCAAGCAGAGGGUCACUGCAUGACCUUUAUGAGGCGUCGCUAGCCAUUGUUUCAAAUCGUCCUGAUUCAUGGGCCAAGCCUUUCAAGACUGCACUCUUAGGCCCAGUCCUUUUUGGUGGAUCGGAUCUUGCCAUCUUCCCCUCUCGUGGCUUCCUGUUGUACUUAAAUAAAUUGUCAUAUUUUUUUCUUAUGGUGGUGCAUACGUUUUGCCACACUUCACAAAAACAGUGUGGUGAAUCCAUGCCGCAGAUUACUGUGAAACGUGCAGGAAGGGUAAACUCCGAAAAGGUUUAUGGAAAGAAGAUAGACAUCCCCCAUUAAUUUUUUCUGGACACUCUAAGCGUGCUAUCUACGCAGU
RNAcentral lists this unclassified non-coding RNA (1150 nucleotides) under Ixodes scapularis (black-legged tick). RNAcentral's name for it is "uncharacterized LOC115311483, transcript variant X3". The record is from RNAcentral. Lineage: Eukaryota; Metazoa; Arthropoda; Arachnida; Ixodida; Ixodidae.